RNAcentral lists this ribosomal RNA (394 nucleotides) under uncultured bacterium. Its description in RNAcentral is "bacterial SSU rRNA". It matches the Rfam family "Bacterial small subunit ribosomal RNA", at positions 355 to 766 of the family's 1533-position model. The record is from RNAcentral.
UGGGGAAUAUUGCACAAUGGGCGAAAGCCUGAUGCAGCAACGCCGCGUGAGUGAUGAAGGCCUUCGGGUUGUAAAGCUCUGUCUUCUGGGACGAUAAUGACGGUACCAGAGGAGGAAGCCACGGCUAACUACGUGCCAGCAGCCGCGGUAAUACGUAGGUGGCAAGCGUUGUCCGGAUUUACUGGGCGUAAAGGAUGCGUAGGCGGAUACUUAAGUCAGAUGUGAAAAUCCCGGGCUUAACUUGGGAACUGCAUUUGAAACUGGGUAUCUAGAGUGCGGAAGAGGAAAGUGGAGUUCCUAGUGUAGCGGUGAAAUGCGUAGAGAUUAGGAAGAACACCAGUGGCGACGGCGAAUUUCUGGACCGUAACUGACGCUGAGGCAUGAAAGCGUGGGG